Eurytemora carolleeae is the source of this 4248-nucleotide RNA transcript. It is a transcript of the gene named AP-2 complex subunit alpha, with no coding region annotated. The transcript is spliced from 33 exons. The record is from RefSeq and is a predicted model, not a curated record. NCBI's taxonomy places the organism in Eukaryota, Metazoa, Arthropoda, Copepoda, Calanoida, Temoridae.
AUACAUUGAACAUUAGUGGGACAUGAAGAACUUAUAGGAUUAGUUUGCCAACACGAAAUCAAAGGAAAAGUUGGCCAAGAAAACCCAAAAGAUCAGUUGGCCAAAAGGAACCCAAAGGAUAAGUUGGACAACAGUAAAACCAAAGGAUUAGUAGCAACUAGCCAACAUGUGCCCAAAGGAUUAGUUCGCCAAUAGAAAACCCAAAGGACUAGUUCGUCAAAAGGAACCUGAAUGGAAAUUGGGCCAACGGGCGGGAAUUCAAUGGAAUAGUAAACUAACGACUAACUAAGACAAACAAGAACCCAAAGAAUGAAUUGGCAAACAUGAACCUAAAGGAUUAGUUGGGCAACAGUGAAAUCCCACAGGAUACCCAAAAGAUGAAUUGACCAAGAAAAAUCCCAAAGGAUAAGUUGGCAAAAAAGAACAAAAAGAAUAUCAUUAGAAACAGAUACUUUACUUCAGGUCUGAUUGGGAUUUUACUUCAGGUCUGAUUGGGAUUUAAAUGUGUUAAAAGGGUGUCCCUACAAGAUUUGAUUUGAUUUGUCCAAGGAGAACCAGAAAGAUCAGUUGGCCAACAGAAAUCAAGCCCAAGCAUUCUGUUGGCCAUUAGGAAGCCCAAAGGAUAAAUUGGCCAAGAAGAACAAAAAGAAUAUCAUCAGAAACGCGAAGUUUUAAGAAUUAAAACCAGUGCAGUGGCUUGACUGUUUGUGAACAACAUUUUUUAAAAUUUUGGAUGAUUUUUUAAAAUUUAUAUUUUCAGAUUGUAUGAAUGGCAAAAAUGCCGGCGGUGCGUGGCGAUGGAAUGAGGGGGUUGGCAGUUUUUAUCUCCGACAUCAGGAACUGCAAGAGCAAGGAGGCCGAGGUUAAGAGGAUUAACAAGGAGCUCGCCAAUAUCAGAAACAAGUUUAAGGGCGACAAAACACUGGAUGGAUAUCAGAAGAAGAAGUAUGUGUGCAAACUACUCUUCAUUUUUCUUCUUGGGCACGAUAUCGACUUUGGUCAGAUGGAGGCGGUUAACCUUCUCUCAUCUAAUAAAUAUACAGAAAAACAAAUUGGUUAUCUGUUCAUCUCUGUACUUAUCAGUGGAAAUAGCGAACUUAUUCAACUGAUCGUUCAGUCGAUCAAAAACGAUCUGGCUGCAAGAAACCCCGUUCAUGUCUCCCUGGCCCUGCAAUGUAUCGCAAACAUUGGUUCCAAGGAUAUGGCCGAAGCAUUCGGAUCAGAGAUUCCAAAACUUCUGGUUUCAGGAGAUACACUUGACGUAGUGAAACAAUCUGCUGCGCUCUGUCUACUUCGCCUUUUCAGAACAGAUCCUUCGGUUAUACCAAGCGGAGAGUGGACUACACGUAUCGUUCAUCUUCUGAAUGAUCACCAUAUGGGAGUUGUGACCGCGGCAGCCUCUCUCAUCGAUGCGCUCGUAAAGAAGAACCCUGAGGAGUACAAGGGUUGCAUCUCCUUGGCAGUAUCAAGGCUAUCAAGGAUUGUGACCUCAAGCUACACAGAUUUCCAGGAUUAUACAUAUUAUUUCGUUCCUGCUCCCUGGCUCAGUGUCAAGAUUUUACGACUGCUUCAAAACUAUCCACCCCCUGAGGAUCCUGGGGUUAGAGCUAGACUCACAGAAUGCCUUGAAACUAUUCUCAACAAGGCGGGAGAACCAUUGAAAUCUAAGAAGGUUCAACAUUCAAAUGCUAAGAACGCAGUACUCUUCGAAGCAAUUAGUUUGAUUAUCCACAAUGAUUCUGAACCGAACCUGUUAGUACGAGCUUGUAAUCAGUUGGGGCAAUUCCUCUCUCAUAGGGAGACUAAUCUACGGUAUCUGGCUCUGGAGUCUAUGUGUAUCCUGGCAACCUCUGAGUUCUCCCAUGAAGCGGUGAAGAAGCAUCAGGAGACCGUCAUCUCUGCUCUCAAGACAGAACGGGAUGUCAGUGUACGACAGAGAGCUGUAGAUCUCCUCUACGCAAUGUGUGAUAGAACGAACUCCGAGGAGAUUGUUCUGGAGAUGCUGGGAUAUCUAGAGACGGCGGACUAUUCUAUCAGAGAAGAGAUGGUUCUAAAAGUAGCAGUAUUGGCGGAGAAGUAUGCUACAGACUAUAAAUGGUAUGUGGAUGUAAUCCUGAACUUAAUUCGGUUGGCAGGGGACUAUGUCAGUGAGGAGGUUUGGUAUAGAGUUAUUCAGAUUGUUAUAAAUAGAGAUGAUGUUCAAGGAUACGCGGCAAAAACUGUGUUCGAGGCUCUACAAUCCCCAGCUUGUCAUGAGAAUAUGGUGAAGGUUGGAGGAUAUAUCCUGGGUGAGUUUGGAAACCUAAUUGCUGGCGAUGAAAGAUCUUCUCCCAGGGUUCAACUUCUUCUUCUACACAGCAAGUUCCAUCUGUGUUCCUCUAUGACACGAGCUCUUCUCCUUUCAACCUACGUCAAGUUUAUCAAUCUCUUCCCAGAGAUCAAGCAACAAAUUCAGGACAUAUUUGUAGCUGAUUCCAACCUAAGAUCCUCUGAUGUAGAACUACAGCAGAGAGCUAGCGAGUAUCUAGCACUAUCUAAGAUCACAAGUUUGGAUGUACUUGCAACAGUUCUGGAGGAGAUGCCUCCCUUCCCUGAGAAGGAAUCCAACGGGAUCCUGAAUCUUCUCAAGAAAAAGCGACCUGGACGGGUCCCUAAUAAUCCAGGAUUAUUAUCGGGUGAGGAAUCUACUAAAGAGAAAUCAACCAAUGGAAUCUCAGUACAGAGGGAUGAAAGUGGAUCAGCUGAUUUGCUCGGAUUGGGUAUGGAGAAUGGAACAAGCAACGGUGUGGAAAGCGAGGAAGUGACCAAUAAUAUUCUCAAGUUCUAUUGUAAGAGUAACGGUGUUCUUUACGAGAAUAGUCUUAUUCAGAACUUCCAGCCUCAUGUUUCCUGUUCUCCUGUUCUAGCAACACAGAUACUUCUACAGGUGAAGGAUGUUGACAGUACAGUUGAGGCAGGUGCACAGUUCCAACAGAUGUUAAAUAUUGAAUGCAUAACAGAUUUUACGGAACAACCUGAUCUAAAUCUUAGCUUCACUUAUAACGGAGAGAGACAAACAGUUAACUGUAAGCUACCGAUGUCGGUGAAUAAGUUCAUUGAACCAACAGAAAUGAAUGCAGAAGCUUUCUUCACACGCUGGAAGAAUCUGAGUAUACCCUCACAGGAGGCACAGAAGAUAUUCAAAGCAAAGUUUCCUAUGGAGGCAACAGACGCAGCUAAAACUAAACUUAUCGGAUACGGAUUCCAGCUACUGGAGAAUAUUGAUCCUAACCAUGAGAACUAUGUGUGCGCUGGUAUUAUCCAUACCCGGACUCUACAGAUAGGAGUUCUCCUUAGACUAGAACCUAACAUGCAGGCUCAGAUGUACCGGUUGACUGUGAGGUCUAGCAAGGAUACAGUUUCCCAGCAUAUUGUCAAUAUUCUUGGAGAUGUGUUCUGAACACAUAGAGCUGAACACAUUUAUCCCUUGAACACAUGGAGCUGAACAUAUUUUCUCUUGAACACAUGGAGCAAAACACAUCAAUCUUUUGAACACAUGAAACUGAACAGUGAACACAUUUAUGUAUAAUCCUGGGCUCAACUUAAGUUCUUUCUCUUUAUUCCGUUAGAGGUAUAUCUUCAAUACCUUUAAAUUUUUUUCUGCCAAGACUUGUCCUCUCCCUUUCCAUGUUUUUUUUCAAUUCAUUUACCUUUACGUUUUCCUUUUCCUCAUAUUUAAACUCAUCCUUGUUUCCGGAUUAUUAUUCAUUAGUUCAUACAUGUGAUAAAAACAGUGAAAUCAACAGUUUUUUUUGCAUGUACAGUACAUUCUUGAACUGCAUGUACCAGCAAUCAUGAAAAGACCAGUGCACCAAUAUAUUGUAUGACUUCCGUUGUGGGACGCUCUGUAUAUCUUCUUCCCAAACAAAAUGUUACUAAGCAAUUUUUUCCUCAGAUACAGGGUGAACCUACUUUAGGGGAUCUUUAAGUCUCGUUUGGAUCGUAAUCUCAAAUAAUCCUUGCCUCCCCCCCCCCCCCAUCUAAAGUAAAGGGUUUAGCCAGAACUUAUUUUAGAGAAUAAUUCAAAUGUCGUCCUUGUGCGGCCCAAGUUUCCCCUCAUUCCCUGGCGACUAUGUAAUGCAUUGUUUUAUUCGUAUUAUAUUAGAUAUUUAUAAGUAGUGAGAUCAUUCCAAUUGUAUUAUCAUUAUCAACUCUGUUUUAUUCCAAGGAUUUUAGAAUUAAAGCAUUUAAAUAAAAUGGAUGAAAAUA